AUUGAACGCUGGCGGCAUGCCUUACACAUGCAAGUCGAACGGCAGCACGGGUGCUUGCACCUGGUGGCGAGUGGCGAAUGGGUGAGUAAUGUAUCGGAACGUGCCCAGUAGCGGGGGAUAACUACUCGAAAGAGUAGCUAAUACCGCAUACGCCCUACGGGGGAAAGGGGGGGAUCGCAAGACCUCUCACUAUUGGAGCGGCCGAUAUCGGAUUAGCUAGUUGGUGAGGUAAAGGCUCACCAAGGCGACGAUCCGUAGCUGGUUUGAGAGGACGACCAGCCACACUGGGACUGAGACACGGCCCAGACUCCUACGGGAGGCAGCAGUGGGGAAUUUUGGACAAUGGGGGAAACCCUGAUCCAGCCAUUCCGCGUGUGCGAUGAAGGCCUUCGGGUUGUAAAGCACUUUUGGCAGGAAAGAAAUCGCAUCAAUUAAUACUUGGUGUGGAUGACGGUACCUGCAGAAUAAGCACCGGCUAACUACGUGCCAGCCGCCGCCGUAA
RNAcentral lists this ribosomal RNA (502 nucleotides) under uncultured bacterium. Its description in RNAcentral is "partial 16S ribosomal RNA". It matches the Rfam family "Bacterial small subunit ribosomal RNA", at positions 30 to 523 of the family's 1533-position model. The record is from RNAcentral.